This 628-nucleotide long non-coding RNA is filed under the name Fukomys damarensis (Damara mole-rat). RNAcentral describes it as "lncRNA (ENSFDAG00000025598.1)". Lineage: Eukaryota; Metazoa; Chordata; Mammalia; Rodentia; Bathyergidae. The record is from RNAcentral.
GUCACCGAGGGGGUGGGUGGGAAGGAAAAGGUCCUCAGCAGGGCCAAAGUCCCCAACCCCGAGCCGAGCAGGGCACUGGCACAGUUCAGAGUGUUCUGCUGCUGAGCAAGAAAAGCCUCUUCUCCCGAAUCCGGAUGAAUUUGAUAUUCAAUCAAUGAAGAUUAACUUGCCCAAGGGACAGAAAGCUAGCCAGUACGCACCACUUAAGAUGGGCUAUGUUCUGAGGAAUUCAUUCUUCAGCAACCUUUGUCACUGUGUGAACAUUACAGAGCAUACCCACACAAACCAAGAUGGCUACAAUACCACAGGUUAACUGCUACGGUUUGAGUCUAGAUGUACCCCAACAGCCUCGUGCAGUCAAGGUGGAGUUUUCAGAGGCGGCUAAAUCUAGACUGUGUGAUGCUGGAAUUAAGGCCAUGUGACUACUAAACCAGUCCACUGAUUGAUUUGGCACCGCCCUAAUAAAAUGGGCAGAAAGACACUGUUAAGAUUCCCUUGUUGCUUUUGCUACCAUGUAAGCAGCGUGAACUAUUUCUUCUCUGCAACAUCACGUGCCACUCUGCCUUGGAGCCAGCCAGUUAUGGACUGAAACCUCUACAAACUGUGAGCUGAAUAAACCCCUUCCCCU